This 332-nucleotide unclassified non-coding RNA is filed under the name soil metagenome. RNAcentral describes it as "partial contains 5.8S ribosomal RNA, internal transcribed spacer 2, and large subunit ribosomal RNA". The stretch from base 1 to 120 matches the Rfam family "5.8S ribosomal RNA", at positions 35 to 154 of the family's 154-position model. The record is from RNAcentral.
GAUGAAGAACGCAGCGAAAUGCGAUACGUAAUGUGAAUUGCAGAUUUCAGUGAAUCAUCGAAUCUUUGAACGCACAUUGCGCCCGCUAGUAUUCUGGCGGGCAUGCCUGUUCGAGCGUCAUUUCAACCAUCAAGCCCUAGGCUUGCGUUGGAGCCCUGCGGCUGCCGCAGGCUCCCAAAUCCAGUGGCGGGCUCGUCGUCGUACCGAGUGCACUAAACAUCCUCGCUCAGGGAACGUGACGGGUUCUUGCCGUGAAACCCCCCACAUAUCAAGGUUGACCUCGGAUCAGGUAGGAAUACCCGCUGAACUUAAGCAUAUCAAUAAGCGGAGGA